ACUCGAGUGGCGAACGGGUGAGUAACACGUGGGUGAUCUGCCCUGCACUUUGGGAUAAGCCUGGGAAACUGGGUCUAAUACCGAAUAGGACCGCAUGCUUCAUGGUGUGUGGUGGAAAGCUUUUGCGGUGUGGGAUGGGCCCGCGGCCUAUCAGCUUGUUGGUGAGGUAAUGGCUUACCAAGGCGACGACGGGUAGCCGGCCUGAGAGGGUGACCGGCCACACUGGGACUGAGAUACGGCCCAGACUCCUACGGGAGGCAGCAGUGGGGAAUAUUGCACAAUGGGCGCAAGCCUGAUGCAGCGACGCCGCGUGAGGGAUGACGGCCUUCGGGUUGUAAACCUCUUUCGCCAGGGACGAAGCGCAAGUGACGGUACCUGGAGAAGAAGGACCGGCCAACUACGUGCCAGCAGCCGCGGUAAUACGUAGGGUCCGAGCGUUGUCCGGAAUUACUGGGCGUAAAGAGCUCGUAGGUGGUUUGUCGCGUUGUUCGUGAAAACUCACAGCUUAACUGUGGGCGUGCGGGCGAUACGGGCAGACUUGAGUACUGCAGGGGAGACUGGAAUUCCUGGUGUAGCGGUGGAAUGCGCAGAUAUCAGGAGGAACACCGGUGGCGAAGGCGGGUCUCUGGGCAGUAACUGACGCUGAGGAGCGAAAGCGUGGGGAGCGAACAGGAUUAGAUACCCUGGUAGUCCACGCCGUAAACGGUGGGUACUAGGUGUGGGUUUCCUUCCUUGGGAUCCGUGCCGUAGCUAACGCAUUAAGUACCCCGCCUGGGGAGUACGGCCGCAAGGCUAAAACUCAAAGAAAUUGACGGGGGCCCGCACAAGCGGCGGAGCAUGUGGAUUAAUUCGAUGCAACGCGAAGAACCUUACCUGGGUUUGACAUGCACAGGACGCCGGCAGAGAUGUCGGUUCCCUUGUGGCCUGUGUGCAGGUGGUGCAUGGCUGUCGUCAGCUCGUGUCGUGAGAUGUUGGGUUAAGUCCCGCAACGAGCGCAACCCUUGUCUCAUGUUGCCAGCACGUUAUGGUGGGGACUCGUGAGAGACUGCCGGGGUCAACUCGGAGGAAGGUGGGGAUGACGUCAAGUCAUCAUGCCCCUUAUGUCCAGGGCUUCACACAUGCUACAAUGGCCGGUACAAAGGGCUGCGAUGCCGUGAGGUGGAGCGAAUCCUUUCAAAGCCGGUCUCAGUUCGGAUCGGGGUCUGCAACUCGACCCCGUGAAGUCGGAGUCGCUAGUAAUCGCAGAUCAGCAACGCUGCGGUGAAUACGUUCCCGGGCCUUGUACACACCGCCCGUCACGUCAUGAAAGUCGGUAACACCCGAAGCCGGUG
RNAcentral lists this ribosomal RNA (1331 nucleotides) under Mycobacterium sp. UBH16. RNAcentral describes it as "bacterial SSU rRNA". It matches the Rfam family "Bacterial small subunit ribosomal RNA", at positions 89 to 1432 of the family's 1533-position model. Lineage: Bacteria; Bacillati; Actinomycetota; Actinomycetes; Mycobacteriales; Mycobacteriaceae. The record is from RNAcentral.